Molecule: ribosomal RNA, 254 nt
Filed under: uncultured bacterium
Lineage: Bacteria
Description: partial 16S ribosomal RNA
Rfam family: Bacterial small subunit ribosomal RNA
Source: RNAcentral
CACGUAGGGGCCAAGCGUUGUCCGGAUUUAUUGGGCGUAAAGAGCUCGUAGGCUGUUCGGUAAGUCGGGUGUGAAAACUCUGGGCUCAACCCAGAGACGCCAUCCGAUACUGCUGUGACUAGAGUCCGGUAGGGGAGUGUGGAAUUUCCGGUGUAGCGGUGAAAUGCGCAGAUAUCAGGAGGAACACCGGUGGCGAAGGCGGGUCUCUGGGCCGAUACUGACGCUGAGGAGCGAAAGCGUGGGGAGCGAACAGG